This 253-nucleotide ribosomal RNA is filed under the name uncultured bacterium. Its description in RNAcentral is "partial 16S ribosomal RNA". It matches the Rfam family "Bacterial small subunit ribosomal RNA", at positions 524 to 776 of the family's 1533-position model. The record is from RNAcentral.
UACGUAGGGAGCAAGCGUUGUCCGGAAUCAUUGGGCGUAAAGCGCGCGUAGGCGGCCUCGUAAGUCCGUUGUGAAAGUCAAAGGCUCAACCUUUGAAAGCCGAUGGAUACUGUGAGGCUAGAGUCCGGAAGAGGCGAGUGGAAUUCCUGGUGUAGCGGUGGAAUGCGCAGAUAUCAGGAGGAACACCAAUAGCGAAGGCAGCUCGCUGGGACGUUACUGACACUGAGGCGCGAAAGCGUGGGGAGCGAACAGG